UACAGAGGUGGCAAGCGUUGUUCGGAAUUACUGGGCGUAAAGGGCGCGUAGGCGGCCUUCUAAGUCAGACGUGAAAUCCCCCGGCUUAACCUGGGAACUGCGUCUGAUACUGGAGGGCUUGAGUGCGGGAGAGGGAUGUGGAAUUCCAGGUGUAGCGGUGAAAUGCGUAGAUAUCUGGAGGAACACCGGUGGCGAAGGCGGCAUCCUGGACCAACACUGACGCUGAGUGAGCGAAAGCCAGGGGAGCAAACGGG
RNAcentral lists this ribosomal RNA (254 nucleotides) under uncultured bacterium. RNAcentral describes it as "partial 16S ribosomal RNA". It matches the Rfam family "Bacterial small subunit ribosomal RNA", at positions 524 to 776 of the family's 1533-position model. The record is from RNAcentral.